RNAcentral lists this long non-coding RNA (8002 nucleotides) under Podarcis lilfordi (Lilford's wall lizard). The record is from RNAcentral. Lineage: Eukaryota; Metazoa; Chordata; Lepidosauria; Squamata; Lacertidae.
GCUCUCCCACACAAGACACAGUCUCUGACAGUUUUGUUACUUCAGAUUUAUUCAGCAAUUAAUGGGCUCAGCAGUCUGAGCUUCAUUAACUCAUUCAUCACUUUUGGAGUCAGUUGCCGGAUCUAGCCUCUUUUUCCAGUGGAAGCAAGGUACUCCCCGCCUCUUCCCCCUCCUUUUUCCUGUCAUUCACUUUUUGGCUAAACCAUUCAAUCUGCGGCUUUUGUGGAAUCUAGUUCUACCAGCCCUUCCUGCUUCUCUUUGACAUCCUGUUCUUUCAGCUGUUACUUUCUGAAUCGCUAGCCUGUAUUCCUGAGCAAGAUAAGUUUAUCUCACUGUCACUGUGUAAAGGAGUCAGAUUCCGACUUCUCUCUGGCUCUUCCCACUCCAAUUCGGGUUCUUCUUUAUCUGUCAGCUCUGGCUCUCCCCCCUCCCUUCGGAUUCCAUUCCAUCUGUCAGAAAGUGAACAUCUCUGACAUAUGUCAUGAGAGCCAGUGUUGUGUUGUGGUUAAGAGCAGUAGACUCAUAAUCUGGGGAACAGGGUUCGCGUCUCCGCUCCUCCACAUGCAGCUGCUGGGUGACCUUGGGCUAGUCAUACUUCUCUGAAGUCUCUCAGCCCCACUCACCUCACAGAGUGUCUGUUGUGGGGGAGGAAGGGAAAGGAGAAUGUUAGCCACUUUGAGACUCCUUCGGGUAGUGAUAAAGUGGGAUAUCAAAUCCAAACUCUUCUUCUUCUUAUAAGGUGUGAUAUAAUAAUGUAAUGUAAUAUUUCCCAUCAUAUUGGUGGCAUGCAGGGGCAGUACCCAAUUGCUAGGGGGAAAGUCGUGGGGAUUUAAACAAGGUAAGUGCAAAGUGUUUAAUGGUCGUUGUAUUUGUGUUCGUUUAAAAACCAGUUAAAAAUUGUGUUUUUUUAAAACAAAAAAGCCCAUGGGACAAGACCUACUGCUGUUCUCCUUAGGGCUGACACUCAGCGAAGUCUGCACAGAUCAUGUUUUUCCUGAUAAAGGGUUAACUCCAACUUUGAAUGGUGCAAAUUACUGCCAGGUCACUCUUGACAGCUAUUGAAUGAAACUAGAGCUGUCAUUGGUGUAAACAGGGUGAGCAAGUGACUUAAACAGUGGUGGUAGCAAGCAGCAGUAGUGCCAUGUCACAAUUGGCCAAGGUCCCAAUUAUGACAACUGCUAUUGUUGGGCCACCAAGGGCUGCCUGACCAUGUGAAGCCCUGGAAGCAUGUUGUGAUAUAUUUUCCAAUUAUUUCAAGGAUUUAAAAGGUUCAUAUCCUCCUCAACAUGGAUGCAAUAGGUUUAGAUAUCCCAUCUGGACAGGGCAACAUCUGGCCUUCUCUGGGGGCCCCAUUCCUGCCUCUCUCCACCUGGCCCAGGGCAGGACCUGACAGGCCUCUGAACAACAGAGAGGGUUCUUUUAAAAAAUGUUUUUAAAUUAUUCUUUUACUCUUUUUAGUUUUGGGGUGGGAUAAAUGUUGGAGUUGGGGUUAGGGAUUUGUUUAAUUUUAGUAUGACUGUAACUUUUUAUUAUAAUUUUUUGUUUCUAUUGUUUUAUUGGUUUUUUUGUGUGGGUUGUAUUUUGCUUUUAAAGGGCGGGGUCAGGGCUGCCUGGGAGUGGGACCCAGCCAACAGAAUGGCUGGGGCAGGUUCCAUGGGGGGGGGGGAUACACUGGGACACCCGAUCUCAGUGAUCAUGGGUAGGAGGAGGAGUUACACUAAGACCAGACCAUGUCAUUACCGAGGAAGCAUUAUUUAGUCGCUCUUUGAGGACUAUCCCUGCCUCCGGGUCUGGUCUUGACAGGAUGGAUACUGGAAUCAGCAAGGGAGACCCACAUGACCUGAAGGUGCUGAUGUGCAAUGCCAGGUCAAUUACUCAUAAGAUCACUGCCAUCCAUGACUUGAUCAUGGAUGGAGGACUUGACCUGGCAUGUGUAACAGAGACUUAGUUGGAUGAAGCAGAUGGGCAUGUCAAAGGCUGCUUCUUGUCCACCAGGUUUCUCUUAGCAACCCAGACCUUGUGGGCAGGGGGGGGGGGUUGCAGUGAUUUUUAGGAAGUCAUUAGCUUGCACCAGGCAUCCUAUUGGGAAGACACAGUUUUCUGAGUGCAUGUUCUGGAAGUUGGGUAAUAGGGGCAGUACAGGAUUCCUUUUGGUGUAACGACCUCCCCACUGCACCAAGGAUUCCCUGCCUGAGCUACUUCAGUUAGUGGCGGAUGCAUAAGAAGGUCUGAAGGCACCUGGACAUGUGCUAAGGACUCUGAUUAAGGUUAAAACUUCACCAGUGGAACCCCUGAGUCUGGACCCACCCUGGAGUGGGUCAGGACACGGGCAACGAGACGUCCCAACCACACCAGAAGCUAGUUGUUCUAUGCAGAAGGGGAAGCUUGAAGAGUCGUCAGGUGUAAGAGAAUGGGAGGGGACGCCCACCACAUUGUGCUAAUCCAUAGGGCACCAUCACCCCAUCCAAGCAGUGUUCUGGUGGCCACGUGGGUUGCUUUAAGAAGGCUCAGGAUACAGGGAGGUGGAAAGAUUUUGCUCCUAGAGGAUGAAAGAGUUUAAUUACCUUGGCCUCACCCUCCAAAUCCCCAAGCACACCGGACAGCAGCUCCAAUCCGAAUAGGGCAACGGCAUUUAUACCCCUCUGGGCAAAAAUAGAGUUGCUAACGAGGCAAUUAUUUGUGCUGUAUCACCUAGUGUCCCAGGUUUUUCAAGCUGACAGUUACGGGGGAAACCCCACCCCCUGCAACUGUAGCUUGAAAUGGGGGGCAAGGGCCCCCAAAAUGUAAUAAUAGCACCCCUGAGUGUGACUGUUAAAAGGAACAUAUAGUAGCCUAUCGCUUUAAGAAACUGCUGAGAAAGCAUUUUACUUUCCAAGUAGCCCCCACCAUGGGAAGAGAGGACCUAAAAAGCUUAUCACAAGAACAGAAGCAGCCAUACACACAGCUAUACACGCAGGUUGAAAGCACACGAAUUCAAAGCACAAGAGCUUUUGCUACAAAAUGUAUCCAUGCGAAGGUUAUGCUUAUGCACAGUAGAUGUUGAGUUUUGUCAACAAAUGAACCAAUCUGAAUAUUAAUAUGCUUAUGCCAGAAGUACAGGCGCACUUAAAUGAAAUGUAACUAAAUAAGUUCUGGCUAAUGACAGCUUGUAUACUUCCUGGAAUGAGCUAAUGAUGCAUAUGAAUGGAGGGAAUCUUAAUGCAUUGUGGAAUAAACAUGUAAGCAACACCCCCCCCCCCCGGCUCUGGGUGUUGGAACCUGGGAUGGAAAGCCAGCUGGUUUGGCCCCAGCUGGAGCGUCUCCCUUCUCAGCUUUGCCGCUGCAGAGAUGCAUCAGUCAUCCUCCUCCGACAUGUGCCUGCGACUCAGGCUGCUGUGCAUGCAAGAGCACUCAUUACUCAGCAGAGUAAACACACAACAGAUCAGGCUUGAGGCAUGGAUGCUAUACUAAACUAUGCAUUUAUUAUACAUAAAUCAGGACAAAGAAAACAUGGCCUCUCUCUUAGUCGUUGUUCUUGGAGAGAGAGAAAAGAAAAGCAAUACAGAGCGGAUGUUCCGCUCACGGGACUCCAGCAAUCCGUGCUGGAAUGUAAACAGACAUGUGACAUGUAACAAUCCCACCUAUCUGCAGCAAGGGGUGGAAUGGAAUUCCCAACACUGGGGUGGGGUUCCAGCCUUUGUGGAGCAAUCCCGCUGAAACACUUUACUACAGUAAAUAAACUUUCUGGAUUCCUUCUUCAACCCGACUCACAAGUAGUUAAUGGCACUAGUGAGAGAGCAGAUCUGCAUUGCACCACAAGAGGAGCAACACAAAUGUGUGUGGGGGGGUGUUUUAAGGGGAUGAACGUUCCAAGAAGUCAUAAGUACAACCAGAGCUACAUUGGGGUACAGUGGGCAAUUGUCCCAAAUAACUGGACUGAGUUGUAGGAGUAUUUGGCUGCAAUGGAGCUUAGAGAAUUUGGUCAUGCUAUUCAGUGAUCUUUGUUGGGCUAGGCAAAAGCUGUUGUCCCAUGCCACAACUAACCGAGGUGCCAACUGCUAUUAUUGAGCCUACAAGGGGUGCCUGACCAUGUGAAGCCCUGGAAGCAUGUGGUAUAUUUUCCAAUUAUUUCAAGGAUUUAAAGGGUUCAUGUCUUCCACAACAUGGAUUCAGUACAUUUAGAUGUCCAGUCUGGACAGGACAUCACCUGGCCUUCUCAACAAGAAGCUUCUGGUGAAGGUUGCCCAUACCCUGACAACGCUCAUUGCAACUGAGGAGAAAUAGUGAAUGUGCUACGCUGGUGCCUUGAAUUGUGAAUGAACUGGAUUAAGGGUUUGAAUUGGAACUCAGUCUGGUGAAGAUGGAGAUACUGAGCAGCAGGAGGGGAGAAGAUAGGAUGGAUCUACUGGAUCUGGAUGUUUUGCAGGAGAUUGACCAGGGAUUUGGACUCCUAAGUGAUACUGGUGCAAUAAAUAUAUUUGACUUGUUUGAUUAAACAGGAGUGGUUUUGUGUGCAUGGAAGGACCAUGAGUUCCAUGCAAUUCCGGUGCUCAGAAGUUUUUGAUCCUUUUUUGCACUUCUCUCAGUACUCAUCUAGCCAAGGUCAUGGAGUUCAUGUCUGGAUAUGGUUAAACCUCUCAGACCAGCUCAAGGGGUCUCUUGGAUCCAGCUGUGUCACUGGGGAUAUAAGUGACAUCAGGUGGUUGGGGACAAUCUUUCAGCCAUGAUCCUGUCUCAAACAAAACACUGGCCAUGAUCAUUCACACUCUCACAUGCUCCAAAUUGGACUACAGUAGUGUGUUGCUCAGAGGUACCUUUGAAAAUUAUUUUGCUAAAACAGCUAAUCCAAAAUGCAGUUGGAAGCCUCUCGACCACAACAAUUGUCACCUGCAUUUUGAGAAAGCUCAAACCUGAGCAGCAAACCUCUGGAAUAUUCUAUAUUGUAAUUGGGAUGCAGUCAAAUCUUGCAACACAUAUUUUAAAAAUGAAUUUCACACCUGCAUUUUGACAUGUUUUUAAUGAGUAGAAUAUGCUGCUUCAUCUGUGUUGAGCAGAAAUAAGAUUUCUUGGCUUCCCCGACUGAAGAUCCAUCUCUUUUUUCAGGUAGUCGAGGAUAAGAACCAUGCACUGGCCUGGAGCUGCACAUCAUUUUUACUUGCAGCACAGUUUUUGAACGGCACAGUCGUUAUAUUGAUGGCUUUUUGGGAGGCAAAUUUUUAAGGAGAAGGCGGGAUUAAUGCAAAUGCCUCCCAGUUGAUUACAAUUCUUUCCAAAAGCGCCUGUAAGAGGGGAAAAUGGCAAGAAAUUUAGACAAAUAAGGAGAAUGAGAUACUGACUUGCAAGGCAGUCUGAUCAGCACAGAGAGAAGGGUGAUUUAAAGAGAAAAUGUACAGAGUGCAAUAGCAUGGAGAGAUUUAUUGAUGUAAAUCAUUUUCCUGUUUUUUCACAUUUAUUUUAAAUUGGGCUGUCACCAAAAACGGACCCUGAUACCUGGUGCACAGGAGUCGCUUAUUCUUAGUUGACUAAAGUAUUUUCCUUAUUUUUCAUAUUUAUUUUAGUUAUGAUUGUCACCCAAUUGAAGAAAUUAAUUCACUGUGUGAUUUUUAGAAGAAUAACUGAUUGAAUUUCAAUAAAUUUGCUUGUAAGCAAAUUCAGAGUCAGCAUGCAUGCACUAACUGUAUAUGAUGUACUAAUAUGUAUUAUCUUAGAGGAAACAUCCUCAAGGGUGGAAACAUGGUUCUUCCAUCCACAGAAGGGCUACUUGAAUUAUGCCACCUGAGGCACCUACCUCAGUCCACCUCAUGGAUGGGACCGGUGGUACUACAUGACUUCCAACCCCAUUUUUUUGUUUGGUCGUUUAUGUCCAGAUGUUUUUAAUUUCAGUGUAUGUUUUACCUUCAGAAAACAUGAUCAUCCCAGAAAACAGAAGGGCAACCAUGAAGAGCCAGCGCAAUUGCAUUGUUGAAGCUUGACUCGAUCUCAAGUUGAGCAGCAAAAGCAGAUUAGUGAAGCAGAAUGCUCUGGUGAGAGUUCUGGAAGGCUGAAUGCCCAACUAUUUACAGGGAUUCAUGAUGGACUCUUCAGGAUUCAGUGGGUUGUAAAAUCUAUUUGGUUGAUGUGCUGCCAAAUGCGGCAGUUCUUUCCAAGAAUAUCAGAACAAAAGGAAUGAGGAGGUGGAAGGGGAACCAAAACAGUUUUAUUAACAAACAAACAUACAUACAAAGCACAACACAAAACAUACCCGACAAGGGCCACCCAGUCUCCCCUUCAGCUGCCCGGAUCCCCAGGUAGAGCAACAGGAGAAAGACCCCGACCAUCGGUCUCCCAGCAUCAGGUCCUUUGAUCUGGGCGGAAGCUCACCAGGCCCUUCCCACCUAUGGCUUUUAUAGCCUGCAUUGAUGUAAUCAUGUGCACCUGGCAUUACUCAUGAUUAAUACAGAGUGGCUGAGUGUCUCCCACUACCUGCAUCUGGCAUCCAGCCAGCACUUGCAACACAGAAGAACCCAAUAAACUCCCGACAGGUGUGUGAAACACAAGAAUCCAACUGGGGAUGUUAAAGGGUGACAUAUACUCGGAGUCAAGAGUGGAUUUCAUGCUCUUUAUUCAGCUCAUAGUGGUGAGGAGGAAUGAAUGUUCCCCCAAAGUAUCUGCUUUAUAUACAUUAUUUACACAAUGGGCUGCACGUGAUUGGCUAAUUCCGGAAUUCUCCUGUAGGCCAAUCAGGUUGUGGAUUCACUUCCAUCUGGAGCUGGGUUGGGUGGCUCCUGCAGACCAAUCAUACUGCUGCAUUGUUCUAGGACCAAUCAGACUGCUGCAUUCUGAAUCCUAUUGUUCUAAGACCAAUCAUACUGCUGCAUUUUGGAUGCUAUUGUUCUAGAACCAAUCAGACUGCUGCAUUUUGGAUCCUAUUCAACUCAGUACAUAACAAAGGGAAAGGGACAUGCCACCUAACUCCUCGAAAUACAAUUGUCUCCCGCAUUUUCACUACAGUUGAGUGGAAUAAUAUGACCACAACUAGGAAGGCUGACAGGCCCACAUUAGAGGCACCAAGUGGCCCCCAAGAUUGAGAGGGCCUGGCAUGUGACUUAUGCAUGAGACAUCACACUGUCGGGUAGGAGGUCAAGGGCUCUGGAGGAGCUGGUCACUGAAGUUAGGUCAUGUUCGGCUCCGUGCUUGGCUUCCUCCUCCCCUCAACACUGAGGGGGCACAACCUCCUUCCCACAAAUAUUGUAGACCCUCCAAGUGUCCCUACUUUCCAGGGACAGUCUCAGAUUUUAAGAAGCUGUCCCAAUUUCUUAUUCGAUAACAGAAUGUCCCAUUUUUCCUUAGAAUGUAUCUACUGUAUUUUCAUCAGAGAAAUGCUGUAGGGCAUGGGAGUCAACUCCUAGGGACUGAUGGGACUUUGGCCCCCACAAUAAAAUAUUUGAGGGGGUGACCCCCCCCCAAAGUUGAUGAUCAUUCCCAUUCAGAUGUUCUGUGUACACUGUAUCAUAUGAUCGUUUAUGUGGGGCAGAGCUUACCUGGGCCCCCACAAUAUUUUAUUCAACUUGGCACCCCUGUUGGAGGGUAUGGAGUUAUCCGAACCUCAGGUCAUCUGAUGGCAACCCUGUUUAGGGAAGUUUUUCAAUAUUUAAUGUUUUAUUAUGUUUUCAUAUAUUUUGGAAUCUGCCCAGAGUGGCUGGGGCAACCCAGCCAGAUGGGUGGGUUAUAUAUAGCUAUACCGGCCAAUACCUCCAUUCCCCAGCAGUUGUUCCUGCAAGGAAUUGCCUGGUUCGCACAGGGUUGAAAGCAUGGGACUGAUAAUGUAUCUAUUCAUGCACAAUCUAUUUGUUAUGUUCUUUUAAUAUUCUUGCUAUUGUUCUGUUUCUAGUUACUUGGGGGAAAUGGGGAAAUACAGUUGUAAGGAGUGAAGGGAAGAAGUCCCGGGCACACAAGCAAUUUAGUGGUUUUUCCCAACCCUUCCAGAGAGUAAAGAAAGAAAGAAACCACCACUACCUUCCUGAUUGCAUUUAUGAAAAAUGAC